GCUGUGUUGGUGUAGUGGUCAGCAUAUCUGCCUAGUAAGCAAAGAAGACCCGGGUUCGAGUCCCGACCACAGCA
Non-coding RNA from Schistocerca piceifrons (Central American locust), 74 nucleotides. The record is from the annotation of a RefSeq genome assembly. NCBI's taxonomy places the organism in Eukaryota, Metazoa, Arthropoda, Insecta, Orthoptera, Acrididae.